This 467-nucleotide ribosomal RNA is filed under the name uncultured bacterium. RNAcentral's name for it is "partial 16S ribosomal RNA". It matches the Rfam family "Bacterial small subunit ribosomal RNA", at positions 28 to 506 of the family's 1533-position model. The record is from RNAcentral.
GACGAACGCUGGCGGCGUGCUUAACACAUGCAAGUCGAACGGAAAGGCCCUGCGUUUGUGGGGUGCUCGAGUGGCGAACGGGUGAGUAACACGUGAGUAACCUGCCCUUGACUUUGGGAUAACUUCAGGAAACUGGGGCUAAUACCGGAUAGGAGCUCCUGCUGCAUGGUGGGGGUUGGAAAGUGUCGGCGGUUGGGGAUGUACUCGCGGCUUAUCAGCUUGUUGGUGGGGUAGUGGCUUACCAAGGCUUUGACGGGUAGCCGGCCUGAGAGGGUGACCGGCCACAUUGGGACUGAGAUACGGCCCAGACUCCUACGGGAGGCAGCAGUGGGGAAUAUUGCACAAUGGGCGGAAGCCUGAUGCAGCAACGCCGCGUGCGGGAUGACGGCCUUCGGGUUGUAAACCGCUUUCGCCUGUGACGAAGCGUGAGUGACGGUAAUGGGUAAAGAAGCACCGGCUAACUACGU